GCACUGCUGAGGAGUCCCAUAAUAGGACGAAAAGGCAGUCCAGUGU
Molecule: non-coding RNA, 46 nt
Organism: Schistosoma rodhaini
Lineage: Eukaryota; Metazoa; Platyhelminthes; Trematoda; Strigeidida; Schistosomatidae
Source: Rfam